Molecule: non-coding RNA, 45 nt
Filed under: Schistosoma mansoni
Lineage: Eukaryota; Metazoa; Platyhelminthes; Trematoda; Strigeidida; Schistosomatidae
Source: RNAcentral
AUCCAAAUCACAAGUCCCGAAUAGGACGAAACGCGCGUCCUGGGU